GAUGAACGCUAGCGGCGUGCCUAACACAUGCAAGUCGAACGGAGUCGUUUUGGAAAUCUCUUCGGAGAUGGAAUUCUCGACUUAGUGGCGGACGGGUGAGUAACGCGUGAGCAAUCUGCCUUUAAGAGGGGGAUAACAGUCGGAAACGGCUGCUAAUACCGCAUAAAGCAUUAAAUUCGCAUGUUUUUGAUGCCAAAGGAGCAAUCCGCUUUUAGAUGAGCUCGCGUCUGAUUAGCUAGUUGGCGGGGUAACGGCCCACCAAGGCGACGAUCAGUAGCCGGACUGAGAGGUGGAACGGCCACAUUGGGACUGAGACACGGCCCAGACUCCUACGGGAGGCAGCAGUGGGGAAUAUUGCGCAAUGGGGGAAACCCUGACGCAGCAACGCCGCGUGAUUGAAGAAGGCCUUCGGGUUGUAAAGAUCUUUAAUCAGGGACGAAACAAAUGACGGUACCUGAAGAAUAAGCUCCGGCUAACUACGUG
Molecule: ribosomal RNA, 483 nt
Filed under: uncultured bacterium
Lineage: Bacteria
Description: partial 16S ribosomal RNA
Rfam family: Bacterial small subunit ribosomal RNA
Source: RNAcentral